RNAcentral lists this ribosomal RNA (381 nucleotides) under uncultured eukaryote. RNAcentral describes it as "partial 18S ribosomal RNA". It matches the Rfam family "Eukaryotic small subunit ribosomal RNA", at positions 592 to 976 of the family's 1831-position model. The record is from RNAcentral.
CAAUAGCGUAUAUUAAAGUUGUUGCGGUAAAAAAGCUCGUAGUUGGAUUUCUACCGAAGAUAGCCGGUCGGGUCUUCGAUCUUGUAUCUGGUUUUGUCUUUGGUAUCCUCAUAGGGAACGUUUCUGCGCUUUAUUGCGUGGUGCGGUAUCUAUGACUUUUACUUUGAGGAAAUUAGAGUGUUCACGGCAGGCAAACGCCUUGAAUAUAUUAGCAUGGAAUAAUAACAUAGGAUCUUCGUCCUAUUUUGUUGGUUUCUAGGGCUAAGAUAAUGAUUAAUAGGGAUAAUUGGGGGCAUCUGUAUCAACGCGUCAGAGGUGGAAUUCUUGGAUUGCGUUGCGACAAACUACUGCGAAAGCAUUUGCCAAGGAUGUUUUCAUUGA